UCUGUAGCAAGGUUAACCGAAUAGGGGAGCCGGAGGGAAACCGAGUCUUAAUUGGGCGUUAAGUUGCAGGGUAUAGACCCGAAACCCGGUGAUCUAGCCAUGGGCAGGUUGAAGGUUGGGUAACACUAACUGGAGGACCGAACCGACUAAUGUUGAAAAAUUAGCGGAUGACCUGUGGCUGGGGGUGAAAGGCCAAUCAAACCGGGAGAUAGCUGGUUCUCCCCGAAAGCUAUUUAGGUAGCGCCUCGUGAAUUCAUCUCCGGGGGUAGAGCACUGUUUCGGCUAGGGGGCCAUCCCGGCUUACCAACCCGAUGCAAACUGCGAAUACCGGAGAAUGUUAUCACGGGAGACACACGGCGGGUGCUAACGUCCGUCGUGAAGAGGGAAACAACCCAGACCGCCAGCUAAGGUCCCAAAGUCAUGGUUAAGUGGGAAACGAUGUGGGAAGGCCCAGACAGCCAGGAUGUUGGCUUAGAAGCAGCCAUCAUUUAAAGAAAGCGUAAUAGCUCACUGGUCGAGUCGGCCUGCGCGGAAGAUGUAACGGGGCUAAACCAUGCACCGAAGCUGCGGCAGCGACGCUGAUGCGUUGUUGGGUAGGGGAGCGUUCUGUAAGCCUGCGAAGGUGGCCUGUGAGGGUUGCUGGAGGUAUCAGAAGUGCGAAUGCUGACAUAAGUAACGAUAAAGCGGGUGAAAAGCCCGCUCGCCGGAAGACCAAGGGUUCCUGUCCAACGUUAAUCGGGGCAGGGUGAGUCGACCCCUAAGGCGAGGCCGAAAGGCGUAGUCGAUGGGAAACGGGUUAAUAUUCCCGUACUUGGUGUUACUGCGAAGGGGGGACGGAGAAGGCUAUGUUGGCCGGGCGACGGUUGUCCCGGUUUAAGCGUGUAGGUGUGUGUUCCAGGUAAAUCCGGUUCACUUUAACACUGAGGCGUGAUGACGAGGCACUACGGUGCUGAAGCAACAAAUGCCCUGCUUCCAGGAAAAGCCUCUAAGCAUCAGGUAACAUCAAAUCGUACCCCAAACCGACACAGGUGGUCAGGUAGAGAAUACCAAGGCGCUUGAGAGAACUCGGGUGAAGGAACUAGGCAAAAUGGUGCCGUAACUUCGGGAGAAGGCACGCUGACACGUAGGUGAAGUGAUUUACUCAUGGAGCUGAAGUCAGUCGAAGAUACCAGCUGGCUGCAACUGUUUAUUAAAAACACAGCACUGUGCAAACACGAAAGUGGACGUAUACGGUGUGACGCCUGCCCGGUGCCGGAAGGUUAAUUGAUGGGGUCAGCGCAAGCGAAGCUCCUGAUCGAAGCCCCGGUAAACGGCGGCCGUAACUAUAACGGUCCUAAGGUAGCGAAAUUCCUUGUCGGGUAAGUUCCGACCUGCACGAAUGGCGUAAUGAUGGCCAGGCUGUCUCCACCCGAGACUCAGUGAAAUUGAACUCGCUGUGAAGAUGCAGUGUACCCGCGGCAAGACGGAAAGACCCCGUGAACCUUUACUAUAGCUUGACACUGAACAUUGAGCCUUGAUGUGUAGGAUAGGUGGGAGGCUUUGAAGUGUGGACGCCAGUCUGCAUGGAGCCGACCUUGAAAUACCACCCUUUAAUGUUUGAUGUUCUAACGUGGACCCGUGAUCCGGGUUGCGGACAGUGUCUGGUGGGUAGUUUGACUGGGGCGGUCUCCUCCUAAAGAGUAACGGAGGAGCACGAAGGUUGGCUAAUCCUGGUCGGACAUCAGGAGGUUAGUGCAAUGGCAUAAGCCAGCUUGACUGCGAGCGUGACGGCGCGAGCAGGUGCGAAAGCAGGUCAUAGUGAUCCGGUGGUUCUGAAUGGAAGGGCCAUCGCUCAACGGAUAAAAGGUACUCCGGGGAUAACAGGCUGAUACCGCCCAAGAGUUCAUAUCGACGGCGGUGUUUGGCACCUCGAUGUCGGCUCAUCACAUCCUGGGGCUGAAGUAGGUCCCAAGGGUAUGGCUGUUCGCCAUUUAAAGUGGUACGCGAGCUGGGUUUAGAACGUCGUGAGACAGUUCGGUCCCUAUCUGCCGUGGGCGCUGGAGAACUGAGGGGGGCUGCUCCUAGUACGAGAGGACCGGAGUGGACGCAUCACUGGUGUUCGGGUUGUCAUGCCAAUGGCACUGCCCGGUAGCUAAAUGCGGAAGAGAUAAGUGCUGAAAGCAUCUAAGCACGAAACUUGCCCCGA
RNAcentral lists this ribosomal RNA (2185 nucleotides) under Salmonella enterica subsp. enterica serovar Chester. RNAcentral's name for it is "partial 23S ribosomal RNA". It matches the Rfam family "Bacterial large subunit ribosomal RNA", at positions 634 to 2802 of the family's 2925-position model. The record is from RNAcentral. Lineage: Bacteria; Pseudomonadati; Pseudomonadota; Gammaproteobacteria; Enterobacterales; Enterobacteriaceae.